RNAcentral lists this ribosomal RNA (427 nucleotides) under uncultured bacterium. Its description in RNAcentral is "bacterial SSU rRNA". It matches the Rfam family "Bacterial small subunit ribosomal RNA", at positions 355 to 774 of the family's 1533-position model. The record is from RNAcentral.
UGGGGAAUUUUGGACAAUGGGCGCAAGCCUGAUCCAGCAAUGCCGCGUGCAGGAUGAAGGCCUUCGGGUUGUAAACUGCUUUUGUACGGAACGAAAAGCUUCUGGUUAAUACCUGUGAGUCACGACGGUACCGUAAGAAUAAGCACCGGCUAACUACGUGCCAGCAGCCGCGGUAAUACGUAGGGUGCGAGCGUUAAUCGGAAUUACUGGGCGUAAAGCGUGCGCAGGCGGUUAUGUAAGACAGAGGUGAAAUCCCCGGGCUCAACCUGGGAACGGCCUUUGUGACUGCAUAGCUAGAGUACGGAAGAGGGAGAUGGAAUUCCGCGUGUAGCAGUGAAAUGCGUUGAUAUGCGGAGGAACACCGAUGGCGAAGGCAAUCCCCUGAACCUGUACUGACGCUCAUGCACGAAGGCGUGGGGAGCAAACA